RNAcentral lists this small RNA (127 nucleotides) under Marmota monax (woodchuck). Lineage: Eukaryota; Metazoa; Chordata; Mammalia; Rodentia; Sciuridae. The record is from RNAcentral.
GCCGGGUGUGGUGGCGCGCACCUAUAAUCCCAGCAGCUCAGGAGGCUGAGACAGGAGGAUCGCAAGUUCAAAGCCAGCCUCAGCAUCUUAGCAAGGCGCUAAGCAACUCAGUGAGACUCUGUCUCUA